Molecule: non-coding RNA, 125 nt
Organism: Hordeum vulgare subsp. vulgare (domesticated barley)
Lineage: Eukaryota; Viridiplantae; Streptophyta; Magnoliopsida; Poales; Poaceae
Source: Rfam
UUCAUACUCCCUCCGUUCGGAAAUACAUGUCUUAAAAAUGGAUGUAUCUAAAUGUAUUUUAGUUCUAAAUACAUUUAUUUUUAUUUAUUUGUAUGACAGGUAAUUUCGGACGAAGAGAGUAUUAU